RNA transcript from Melanotaenia boesemani (Boeseman's rainbowfish), 1461 nucleotides. It is a transcript of the gene named glutathione-specific gamma-glutamylcyclotransferase 1-like, with no coding region annotated. The transcript has 4 exons. The record is from RefSeq and is a predicted model, not a curated record. NCBI's taxonomy places the organism in Eukaryota, Metazoa, Chordata, Actinopteri, Atheriniformes, Melanotaeniidae.
CUUCGCCAUGUUAUCGAGGAAACGCGUCAGAGAAGCAUCAACAGACCGGCGGGGACAUAAAAACUACUGACGCGUUUACAACGGUUACUUAUUUGAAACCUCGAUCUUACAAUUCAUUAACCUUAAAUUUACACUACCACCGGUCGGCACAGCAGCUGGCCUGAACGAUUUUUGGCUUUUUUCCCCGUCGAGUCAAAGGCCGAAGCGGCUGCCAUGGAUUUUUAAGGCAUAAUGCGGCACCUUUAAUGCAAUGGCAAUGCAUAGUGCAAGGCAAAAUCAACUGCGAAAUUCCAUCUUCGCAACUGCUAAGCAGUUGGGCUCAAAUACCGUUCGCGGUAUACCAGCGAGCCAACCGGUACCGCUACUCCUGGACCGGAGGAAGCUAACGCUAGCUAGCUAAUCAUCUCAGCCACUACCAUCAACGGAAAAAAAAAGUGAUCCAUCUAUUCAUCUGAACGUCAACACUACCGAUCAAAAUGAAGCCUCAAGACAUAAUCGCCGGGAAGACCAGCCUGUGGAUCUUCGGGUACGGGUCGCUGGUAUGGAAACCUGACUUCAAAUAUAAGAAGAGUGAGGUCGGUUACAUUCAAGGCUACAAGAGACGUUUCUGGCACGGAGACAACUUCCAUCGUGGAAGUGACGAGUUGCCCGGAAGAGUGGUGACGCUGAUUGAAGACGAUGACGCAACUACUUGGGGCGUAGCAUUUGAGGUGUCAGGCUCACAAGUGGAAGAGUCCCUCAAGUACCUCAAUGUCCGUGAGACGGUCUGCGGGGGCUACAUCACCAAGAUUGUGGAUUUCUAUCCUGAAGGGGAGGACAGGUCUCCUGUUCCAGCACUGGUGUACAUCGCCACCGCCGACAACCCUCUCUACCUGGGACCAGCCACUCCAGAGGAGAUCGGUGCCCAGAUUGCCGUGUGCAGAGGCAAGACGGGUCUCAACCUGGAGUACCUGCUCCGGCUGGCAGAGUUCAUGAGGAAGAGCUGCCCACAUGUGGAAGACCAUCACCUGUAUUCCAUUGAGAAAGCGGCUCUGGCUGUGGUGUGUUACCUAUUGGUAGCUCGGUAGCUCGUACCCUUUGUUUCAUUAGCUUUCAGCAGAUACAUAAUCAUUGAGGUGUUUAUCUGUCAUGCCAGUCUUCCUGUUUUUGUAUUCUAUUGGUUCAAUCUUCCAUCCAGUGUUUUGAAUCAAAACCACUAACAAUGAAAGGGAAGCGUAAUAAACCUGUUGGGUGUGCCACACAACACUAAGAAUUGUGCAAUCAUUGUCAACUGUAAACAUUGUGCAGUUGUAUUUAAAAUGAAAAGUAAUGGUUUGGAUGUGCUCAGUUCUGAUUCCGUCCAGUGAAGUCAAGUUAACUCAACUUGUUACACCCAACUGCAAUUUAGAUGGUGGCUGUGAUGUUUGAAAGAACUACACUUCUGUCCAGUUAAGUCAAAAUGCAAAUAAAAACUGAAAAGAA